UACGUAGGGUGCGAGCGUUGUCCGGAAUUAUUGGGCGUAAAGAGCUCGUAGGCGGUGUGUCACGUCGGCCGUGAAAACCUGCAGCUUAACUGUGGGCGUGCGGUCGAUACGGGCAUCACUGGAGUUCGGCAGGGGAGACUGGAAUUCCUGGUGUAGCGGUGAAAUGCGCAGAUAUCAGGAGGAACACCGGUGGCGAAGGCGGGUCUCUGGGCAACAACUGACGCUGAGGAGCGAAAGCGUGGGGAGCGAACAGG
Molecule: ribosomal RNA, 254 nt
Filed under: uncultured bacterium
Lineage: Bacteria
Description: partial 16S ribosomal RNA
Rfam family: Bacterial small subunit ribosomal RNA
Source: RNAcentral